UUGACUAACACUUAACUCGGGGAUAGAGAUCCUAAUUGCGCCGCACCUAAUCACAUAAAUAUAAUUACUUCAAUAUGGGCCUAACUAAAACUUUAACUAAAAAUUAUACAGACAAAACUAUAUAUAUUCAUAUAUAUAUAUAUAUAUAUGUAUAUAUUCUAAAAAAAUAUGGAAUCAUUGACAAAAAUAAACAUAAAUAUAGUUAGACUAGGAAUCUGUAAACCUUUGUAAAUCAAAUAAAAUAUUUAUACAAAAUUUGCGACAACCAGUUACCCAAAUCAAAUAAGUAUAACUGAUUCAAUUACUUGAUCCAUCCAAACUUACGUAUACUAACUGAACUCUGGCCUCAUAAUGACUCUAACUUUGUGAAAAUCUAACAACUAAUUUAAAAUCUCUUUUAACAAACAAAACCCGUAGGCCACUAUGUGAAAAUAAGUUAUGCUCAUCUGGAGACUAAUAGCUAGAUUUUUGAAAUAAUAAUAUUAAUAUAAAAUUCAAAACAAAGAAUUUCAAACCAACAUCAACGCCAUACAUAAAUUUUCUCCAAGCUUUAUUGAAAUUAAAAUUAUUUGUGACAUCAUUGUCUCCCAAAUUCGCAUUUUACCAAACAAAAACUAGUUUUAGAAGGUUUCAUAGAAUAACAAUAUAAUAGUAAUAAUUAUCUUCGUAUUAAUAACUAGUCUAAACUUACUGUAUGAAAGCAAAACAACCCAAUACUAAUCAAAUAACGUCUUUCUUGACAAUUGAAGAUUAAAAGAAUUUGAAGAAUCGUAAGUAUUCAACCUAAUCAGAAAACUAAUUCCGAAUCAUACUAAAUUUGAGAAAAACUCACAAAUCAAAUAAAGUUAGAAUUUAAUCUUACAAGAAUUCUUGAUUUCUUGGCAGCAACUAAAACUUGAAUACUUGAAGAACUUUAACAAAGAAGGUUUUUCAGAGUUUUUUGAAUGGUUGUGAAACGAAAGGAGAAAAUAGCAGAAUAUAAAGUUGGAGAAUGAGAAUUUUCAGAUGAUCAGUUUGUGAAAACCGUCUGUGCAAGUCUUCAGAAAAGAAGAGGGAAAAGCGGAACGG
This 1068-nucleotide long non-coding RNA is filed under the name Salvia miltiorrhiza (redroot sage). Its description in RNAcentral is "long non-coding RNA (SMIL_LNC008434)". Lineage: Eukaryota; Viridiplantae; Streptophyta; Magnoliopsida; Lamiales; Lamiaceae. The record is from RNAcentral.